This 826-nucleotide ribosomal RNA is filed under the name Gonatophragmium triuniae. Its description in RNAcentral is "eukaryotic LSU rRNA". It matches the Rfam family "Eukaryotic large subunit ribosomal RNA", at positions 88 to 933 of the family's 3401-position model. The record is from RNAcentral. Lineage: Eukaryota; Fungi; Ascomycota; Dothideomycetes; Acrospermales; Acrospermaceae.
GGCGAGUGAAGCGGCAACAGCUCAAAUUUGAAAUCUGGCGCCCCUGGGCGUCCGAGUUGUAAUUUGCAGAGGAUGCUUCGGGAUCGGCGCUGCCCCAGGUUCUUUGGAACAGGACGCCAUAGAGGGUGAGAGCCCCGUCUCUGGGCGGCAGCCGAAACCGUGUGAAGCGCCUUCGACGAGUCGAGUUGUUUGGGAAUGCAGCUCAAAACGGGAGGUAAAUUUCUUCCAAGGCUAAAUACAGGCCGGAGACCGAUAGCGCACAAGUAGAGUGAUCGAAAGAUGAAAAGUACUUUGGAAAGAGAGUCAAACAGCGCGUGAAAUUGUUGAAAGGGAAGCGCUUGCAGUCAGACUUGGCCGCCCGGUUCGGCGGGGCCUCGCGCCCCGUCUCCGCCGUGGCGGUCAGGCCAGCAUUGGUUCGGGCGACCGGAGAAAGGCUGCGGGAAUGUGGCUCCUCUCGGGGAGUGUUAUAGCCCGCGGCAGAAUACGGCCAGCCCGGACCAAGGAACGCGCUUCGGCUCGGAUGCUGGCGUAAUGGCUGCAAGCGGCCCGUCUUGAAACACGGACCAAGGAGUCUAACAUCUGUGCGAGUGUUUGGGUGUCAAGCCCUUACGCGCAAUGAAAGUGAACGGAGGUGGGAGCCCUCGGGCGCACCAUCGACCGAUCCUGAUGUCUUCGGAAGGAUUUGAGUAAGAGCACAGCUGUUGGGACCCGAAAGAUGGUGAACUAUGCCUAAGCAGGGUGAAGCCAGAGGAAACUCUGGUGGAGGCUCGCAGCGGUUCUGACGUGCAAAUCGAUCGUCAAAUUUGGGUAUAGGGGCGAAAGACUA